Molecule: long non-coding RNA, 696 nt
Filed under: Panax ginseng (ginseng)
Lineage: Eukaryota; Viridiplantae; Streptophyta; Magnoliopsida; Apiales; Araliaceae
Description: long non-coding RNA (PGIN_LNC001625)
Source: RNAcentral
CUGUUCCUUUCCCAAGACUGCCUUAAAGCUUACUGGGAAAGCCACUGCCUUAUUGUCUCAGAGUCUAUGACUGUCAUCUCUAGGAUCACUAAAUGCGAGCCAUCCUCAUGACGAGUAGCCGCCUACUUAUCGAUACUGCGUUGAAAGCGAGGUACUGCGCUGACGCGCGAUAAAAGAUGGGAUGGUACGCACAAAGCAUGGGUGACGUACUGAAGAGAAUACCACGAGCGCACCUGUAAGAUUUUAUACUGACUCAUAUUGCUCAUUAGUAGAGAACCAGUAGGUUCGGGGCUAACCCGCCUGCUCAUGAGUAAGAAGAUAGAGGGUUUGUAGCGAAUAGCGGAAACAAGAGGAAUCGAAUUCUCUUUCUAUACGCAAUUACGAUAAGAGUAUAGUCAGCUCGGCUUCGCUCCUAAAAGCAGCCCUUCUCUUAUAUACGAGAGCACCCAAUUCAACUUCCAUCCUGCUUCAGGCACUAGUUCGGAUGGAAACCCUGAUCAGGCGUGUAGCACUCUUUCACACAGCAUCGAGGGCUUUUUCAUAAGAAGCAGCACUCUAUUGUCCACUUUGAUAGCUUUCAAGAGUCUCUUUCAUACAUCGUUCCGGGGUCUCCAACCCCCUCCAGAUGGCCUCUUGGUCUUCCCCCACUUCGACUCACCAAGGAGAAGGUAAGUACUGUUAUAUCGUUUCUUAUGA